This 492-nucleotide ribosomal RNA is filed under the name uncultured bacterium. RNAcentral describes it as "partial 16S ribosomal RNA". It matches the Rfam family "Bacterial small subunit ribosomal RNA", at positions 29 to 507 of the family's 1533-position model. The record is from RNAcentral.
AGUGAACGCUGGCGGUAGGCCUAACACAUGCAAGUCGAACGGCAGCACAGUAAGAGCUUGCUCUUACGGGUGGCGAGUGGCGUACGGGUGAGGAAUACAUCGGAAUCUACUUUUUCGGGGGGGAUAACGGAGGGAAACUUACGCUAAUACCGCAUACGACCUACGGGUGAAAGCAGGGGAUCUUCGGACCUUGCGCGAUUGAAUGAGCCGAUGUCGGAUUAGCUAGUUGGCGGGGUAAAGGCCCACCAAGGCGACGAUCCGUAGCUGGUCUGAGAGGAUGAUCAGCCACACUGGAACUGAGACACGGUCCAGACUCCUACGGGAGGCAGCAGUGGGGAAUAUUGGACAAUGGGCGCAAGCCUGAUCCAGCCAUACCGCGUGGGUGAAGAAGGCCUUCGGGUUGUAAAGCCCUUUUGUUGGGAAAGAAAAGCAGCAGGUUAAUACCCCGCUGUUCUGACGGUACCCAAAGAAUAAGCACCGGCUAACUUCGUG